Molecule: non-coding RNA, 31 nt
Filed under: Apocalathium aciculiferum
Lineage: Eukaryota; Dinophyceae; Thoracosphaerales; Thoracosphaeraceae
Source: RNAcentral
CAAGCCAUUUUGGCUCAAGCCCUCCCAGCCU